RNAcentral lists this ribosomal RNA (402 nucleotides) under Amblyosyllis anae. RNAcentral describes it as "partial 16S ribosomal RNA". It matches the Rfam family "Bacterial large subunit ribosomal RNA", at positions 1953 to 2597 of the family's 2925-position model. Lineage: Eukaryota; Metazoa; Annelida; Polychaeta; Phyllodocida; Syllidae. The record is from RNAcentral.
AAGGUAGCAUAAUCAUUUGCCCCUUAAUUAGGGGCUGGAAUGAAUGGGUAAACUAAAUUUUUCUGUCUCCUAGAAAACAAUAAAAAUUUACCUAUUAGUGAAGAGGCUAAUAUUUCUAUAAAAGACAAGAAGACCCUAUAGAGCUUCCCGUACCCUUUAAAAAAAAAGAUUACCGGUUUUGUUGGGGCGACAAGGGAAAAAGAAAAACUUCCCUCAAUCCAAGGCUGAUAAGCCUUUAACAUUACCCUUUAAAAAGGAUAAAAAAAAGCUACCUUAGGGAUAACAGGCUAAUUCUUCUUAAGAGCUCUUAUCGACAGAAGAGAUUGGCACCUCGAUGUUGGCUUAAGGUACCUAUUUAGCGCAGAAGUUAAAUAAGGUGGUUUGUUCAACCAUUAAAUCCUU